UACGAAGGGUGCAAGCGUUAAUCGGAAUUACUGGGCGUAAAGCGUGCGCAGGCGGCUUUGCAAGACAGAUGUGAAAUCCCCGGGCUCAACCUGGGAACUGCAUUUGUGACUGCAAGGCUAGAGUACGGCAGAGGGGGAUGGAAUUCCGCGUGUAGCAGUGAAAUGCGUAGAUAUGCGGAGGAACACCAAUGGCGAAGGCAAUCCCCUGGGCAUGUACUGACGCUCAUGCACGAAAGCGUGGGGAGCAAACAGG
RNAcentral lists this ribosomal RNA (253 nucleotides) under uncultured bacterium. Its description in RNAcentral is "partial 16S ribosomal RNA". It matches the Rfam family "Bacterial small subunit ribosomal RNA", at positions 524 to 776 of the family's 1533-position model. The record is from RNAcentral.